GUGCCAGCAGCCGCGGUAAUACCGGCAGCUCGAGUGAUGUCCAAUAUUAUUGGGCCUAAAGCGUCCGUAGCUGGCCGCGCAAGUCCGUCGGGAAGUCCACCUGCCCAACAGGUGGGCGUCCGGCGGAAACUGUGUGGCUUGGAACCGGAAGGCUCAGAGGGUACGUUCGGGGUAGGAGUGAAAUCCCAUAAUCCCGCACGGACCACCGAUGGCGAAAGCACUUCGAGAAAACGGAUCCGACAGUGAGGGACGAAAGCCAGGGUCUCCAACCGGAUUAGAAACCCUUGUAGUCC
This 293-nucleotide ribosomal RNA is filed under the name uncultured bacterium. RNAcentral describes it as "partial 16S ribosomal RNA". It matches the Rfam family "Archaeal small subunit ribosomal RNA", at positions 455 to 747 of the family's 1478-position model. The record is from RNAcentral.